Long non-coding RNA from Apis florea (little honeybee), 800 nucleotides. NCBI's taxonomy places the organism in Eukaryota, Metazoa, Arthropoda, Insecta, Hymenoptera, Apidae. The record is from RefSeq and is a predicted model, not a curated record.
UUAUAGUAUAUUAUUAUUAAAGGUAGAGUAUUGAUAAAAUUCAUUAUAAUUAGUAUUUGUAGAAAAUAUAUUAUUAAUUUUAACUUCACAGGAUAUCUAUAUAAUAAUUAAAUUCUAAGAAACACAUAUUAAUGUCAGAUGCAGUUAACGCGGUCAUUAUAAUAAAAAUAUAUAAUGUAACAAUAAAUUAAAAAUAAAUGAACACAUCUUGAUGAUCAAACGAUAAAACUGAUAUAGAACUGAUCCAAUAAAAUUAUAUGUUUUCUGAAAUAAAAUGUUAAAAUAGUAAUUAAAAAAAAAAAAAAAAUACAGUUCUUAAUUUCAAGAAAAAAAAAAAAAAGAAAAAAAAUCGUAAGAUAGAAUAAGUAUGUAAGUAAACUUUUUUCAAUUUAAUGAUAUGAAGUUGCCAACAAAGAAAACUAAUAGUUCAAAUGUUCAAUAUAUUUUAAAAUAGUUUUUCCUUUUUAUGAACUUUUAAUGACAGAUAUUUUUAAUAUUAAUUUUUUAUAAGAACGUGCUCAAGUAUAUCAUUUAUUAAAUUUGUAUAAUGAUAAAUAGAGGAAAUAAUAACAAUUAUGUGUCAAGCUUUUAAUAUUAUGCAAGAUAAGACUGAGAUGCAAAAAACCAAUCGCGGGCAUUUUGGUUGGUUAUACAAGGUUCGUUAAUAAGCUUAAGUAAUUAUUUGCAAUUCUAAUUACUAUAUUCCAAAAUGAUAUUAAUUAUAAUAUCAAUAACAUAAUACAUGUAACUAAAUAAUUAAGUAUAAGGAAUAAAAUUAUACAGAAAUAGAAAAAAAAAAU